GCGGCAACAGCUCAAAUUUGAAAUCUGGCUCUUUUAGAGUCCGAGUUGUAAUUUGCAGAGGGCGCUUUGGCGUUGGCAGCGGUCCAAGUUCUUUGGAACAGGACGUCACAGAGGGUGAGAAUCCCGUACGUGGUCGCUAGCCUUCGCCGUGUAAAGCCCCUUCGACGAGUCGAGUUGUUUGGGAAUGCAGCUCUAAAUGGGAGGUAAAUUUCUUCUAAAGCUAAAUACUGGCCAGAGACCGAUAGCGCACAAGUAGAGUGAUCGAAAGAUGAAAAGCACUUUGGAAAGAGAGUCAAAUAGCACGUGAAAUUGUUGAAAGGGAAGCGCUUGCAGCCAGACUUGCCUGUAGUUGCUUAUCCGGACUUUUGUCCGGUGCACUCUUCUGCGGGCAGGCCAGCAUCAGUCUAGGCGGUUGGAUAAAGGUCUCUGUCAUGUACCUCUCUUCGGGGAGGCCUUAUAGGGGAGACGACAUGCAACCAGCCUGGACUGAGGUCCGCGCAUCUGCUAGGAUGCUGGCGUAAUGGCUGUAAGCGGCCCGUCUUGAAACACGGACCAAGGAGUCUAACAUCUAUGCGAGUGUUUGGGUGUCAAGCCCAGACGCGUAAUGAAAGUGAACGGAGGUGGGAACCCUUUGGGUGCACCAUCGACCGAUCCUGAUGUCUUCGGAUGGAUUUGAGUAAGAGCAUGGCUGUUGGGACCCGAAAGAUGGUGAACUAUGCUUGAAUAGGGUGAAGCCAGAGGAAACUCUGGUGGAGGCUCGCAGCGGUUCUGACGUGCAAAUCGAUCGUCAAAUUUGGGCAUAGGGGCGAAAGACUAAUCGAACUAUCUAGUAGCUGGUUCCUGCCGAAGUUUCCCUCAGGAUAGCAGUAACGUAUUCAGUUUUAUGAGGUAAAGCGAAUGAUUAGAGGCCUGGGGGUUGAAACAACCUUCACCUAUUCUCAAACUUUAAAUAUGUAAGAAGUCCUUGUUACUUGAUUGAACGUGGACACUUGAAUGUACCGUUACUAGUGGGCCAUUUUUGGUAAGCAGAACUGGCGAUGCGGGAUGAACCGAACGCGGGGUUAAGGUGCCAGAAUAUACGCUCAUCAGACACCACAAAAGGUGUUAGUUCAUCUAGACAGCAGGACGGUGGCCAUGGAAGUCGGAAUCCGCUAAGGAGUGUGUAACAACUCACCUGCCGAAUGAACUAGCCCUGAAAAUGGAUGGCGCUCAAGCGUAUUACCCAUACCCCGCCGCCGGGGCAGAAUUUAUGCCCCGGCGAGUAGGCAGGCGUG
RNAcentral lists this ribosomal RNA (1274 nucleotides) under Neosetophoma samarorum. RNAcentral describes it as "partial large subunit ribosomal RNA". It matches the Rfam family "Eukaryotic large subunit ribosomal RNA", at positions 98 to 1393 of the family's 3401-position model. The record is from RNAcentral. Lineage: Eukaryota; Fungi; Ascomycota; Dothideomycetes; Pleosporales; Phaeosphaeriaceae.